This 71-nucleotide transfer RNA is filed under the name Selenomonas sp. RNAcentral's name for it is "tRNA-Cys". It matches the Rfam family "tRNA". Rfam says of the family: Transfer RNA (tRNA) molecules are approximately 80 nucleotides in length. Their secondary structure includes four short double-helical elements and three loops (D, anti-codon, and T loops). Further hydrogen bonds mediate the characteristic L-shaped molecular structure. tRNAs have two regions of fundamental functional importance: the anti-codon, which is responsible for specific mRNA codon recognition, and the 3' end, to which the tRNAs corresponding amino acid is attached (by aminoacyl-tRNA synthetases). tRNAs cope with the degeneracy of the genetic code in two manners: having more than one tRNA (with a specific anti-codon) for a particular amino acid; and 'wobble' base-pairing, i.e. permitting non-standard base-pairing at the 3rd anti-codon position. Lineage: Bacteria; Bacillati; Bacillota; Negativicutes; Selenomonadales; Selenomonadaceae. The record is from RNAcentral.
GGGAGUGUAGCUCAGCGGUAGAGCAUGGCUUACACAGGCCAAGGCCGGCAGUUCGAAUCUGCUCACUCCUG